This 61-nucleotide transfer RNA is filed under the name Cymothoa indica. RNAcentral describes it as "tRNA-Tyr". The record is from RNAcentral. Lineage: Eukaryota; Metazoa; Arthropoda; Malacostraca; Isopoda; Cymothoidae.
AUACAGGUGGCUGAUAAUAGGCGUUAGAUUGUAAAUCUUAUAAAGGUUGCACCCCUGAAGA